RNAcentral lists this ribosomal RNA (230 nucleotides) under uncultured bacterium. Its description in RNAcentral is "partial 16S ribosomal RNA". It matches the Rfam family "Bacterial small subunit ribosomal RNA", at positions 15 to 225 of the family's 1533-position model. The record is from RNAcentral.
GAUCCUGGCUCAGGAUGAACGCUGGCGGCGUGCCUAACACAUGCAAGUCGAACGAAGCUUGACGGAUGAUUUCUUCGGAAUGAAACCUGAUAUGACUUAGUGGCGGACGGGUGAGUAACACGUGAGCAACCUGCCUUUCAGAGGGGGAGUAACGGCUGGAAACGGUCGCUAAUACCGCAUGAUGUGUUCGGAUGGCAUCAUCUGAACAUCAAAGAUUUAUCGCUGAAAGA